Molecule: ribosomal RNA, 115 nt
Filed under: Gammaproteobacteria bacterium
Lineage: Bacteria; Pseudomonadati; Pseudomonadota; Gammaproteobacteria
Also listed under: 1 other name
Source: RNAcentral
CCUGGCGGCCAUGGCGAGCGGGAACCACCCGAUACCAUCCCGAACUCGGAAGUGAAACCGUUCAGCGCCGAUGAUAGUGUGGGAGAUCCCAUGCGAAAGUAGGACACCGCCAGGC